RNAcentral lists this ribosomal RNA (240 nucleotides) under uncultured bacterium. Its description in RNAcentral is "partial 16S ribosomal RNA". It matches the Rfam family "Bacterial small subunit ribosomal RNA", at positions 28 to 271 of the family's 1533-position model. The record is from RNAcentral.
GACGAACGCUGGCGGCGUGCUUAACACAUGCAAGUCGAGCGGUAAGGCCCUUCGGGUACACGAGCGGCGAACGGGUGAGUAACACGUGGGUGACCUGCCUCUAGCUCUGGGAUAAGGCCUGGGAAACUGGGUCUAAUACCGGAUAUGACUCCACGGCGCAUGUUGUGGGGUGGAAAGCCUUGUGUGGCUAGAGAUGGGCCCGCGGCCUAUCAGCUUGUUGGUGGGGUGAUGGCCUACCAA